This 585-nucleotide ribosomal RNA is filed under the name Priestia aryabhattai. RNAcentral describes it as "bacterial SSU rRNA". It matches the Rfam family "Bacterial small subunit ribosomal RNA", at positions 80 to 657 of the family's 1533-position model. Lineage: Bacteria; Bacillati; Bacillota; Bacilli; Caryophanales; Bacillaceae. The record is from RNAcentral.
GCUUCUAUGACGUUAGCGGCGGACGGGUGAGUAACACGUGGGCAACCUGCCUGUAAAACUGGGAUAACUUCGGGAAACCGAAGCUAAUACCGGAUAGGAUCUUCUCCUUCAUGGGAGAUGAUUGAAAGAUGGUUUCGGCUAUCUCUUACAGAUGGGCCCGCGGUGCAUUAGCUACUUGGUGAGGUAACGGCUCACCAANNCAACGAUGCAUAUCCGACCUGAGAGGGUGAUCGGCCACACUGGGACUGACACACGGCCCAGACUCCUACGGGAGGCAGCAGUAGGGAAUCUUCCGCAAUGGACGAAAGUCUGACAGAUCAACGCCGCGUGACUGAUGAAGGCUUUCGGCUCGUAAAACUCUGUUGUUAUGAAAAAACAAGUACGAGAGUAACUGCUCUUACCUUGACGGUACCUAACCAGAAAGCCACGGCUAACUACGUGCCAGCACCCGCGGUAAUACUUAUGUGGCAAGCUUUAUCCAGAAUUAUUGCGCGUAAAGCGCGCGCGGGCGGUUUCUUAUUUCUUAUGUGAAAGCCNCCGGCUCAACCGUGGCAGGGUCUUUGNGAAACUGGGGGAAUUUUGAGU